Molecule: long non-coding RNA, 559 nt
Filed under: Homo sapiens (human)
Lineage: Eukaryota; Metazoa; Chordata; Mammalia; Primates; Hominidae
Description: HSALNT0137810
Source: RNAcentral
CUCAGGCUUCUCCCAGCAAUAAAUACAGGUGACCAUGAUUCAGUGAAACCACAACUGAUUUCUCCACCUUAAAUACCCCUCAAAGGGGACAAGAAGGGGGCAAAAGAAGUUUAAUGCCCAUCCCCUAAGAGGUGUAGAAACGUCCUUCUGCCAAGGGACAGAGGAGGUAGAACUGCCCCUCUCAGAACUGCAGCAGCUCUACAAGGAAUCGAGGAGAGGAAAGGGAUAGAAUGAGAGGGAAAAGGAUGUUCUUUAGCAAACUCACUCCUUUGAUCCAUUCAUCCUGUCCCAGGUAAGGGGUGGUCCCAGUGUAUCGGUGGGGCAUAAAAAGGGGAGGGCUGACAGAGUAGAGCCUGGAGGAAGAAAUGAAAGGAGGGAGAGCAAUCUGGUGGGAGGGAAGGGGGUAAAGGGGCCCUAACUCAUUGCCCUCAUCUUCUUCCAAGAAAUGGCAUCAACAUACAAGAGGCAUGAAUGGAUAGAGUCUGGGGGAGUUCAGGGCUCCUAAAUAAGGGAAAGAGAAGGGGCGACAAGGGCCCUGUGGUUUCCUGGUCUUCAUAAA